Molecule: long non-coding RNA, 653 nt
Organism: Mus musculus (house mouse)
Lineage: Eukaryota; Metazoa; Chordata; Mammalia; Rodentia; Muridae
Product: predicted gene 28626
Exons: 2
Source: RefSeq, marked validated
AGGCGCGCUGCUGGGAAUGGAAGUAAGAGAAUUCUGAACCCAGUACUCCAGUCCUCAGGGUUCUAAAGAAGCUCCACGUCGUAGCUCCGGAGUCCGGUCUGCGGCCCCGGGAGGAGGUGAAGCUCGGAGGUACUCUGCGCCCCACCGGGACCCCGACUCACCACAGAGACAUGGCGGCCCGGUCCAGGGCAGCUGAGCGGGGCGCACGGAUCACAGCUCUGAGCGCCGCGGCUGGGGACAGCGGGACGAGGCCGAGCCGCACCCCCGCUGAGACUUUCUUUUUUUCCCUGCGGCUGGAGGAGGGGCCUCAGGGGCGGUGGCCCAGGUAGGUUAACCCUUUGUGCCCCGGCUCACUGUGGGGACAGCAACUCCGUUCAGCCCUGGCCACCUCAGAGGCACGCCCCACGGGAACGCGAAGGGAAGAGCCAGAAUCUCAGAGACCUUGAAGAUCGCCAACAUCCUGAGGCGGCGACUUCCCCGCUGCUGGGCCUUCACGGGGUCGCCCGCCUCGCCUCCUUCGGGACACGUGGGGACGUCGGACACCGCCCACCUCCACGCCCACCCGGCGCCUAGCGGCCUGGUUGCUUCCUUCUGGAGUAGCCCUGGGUGUGUAGAGUGGAGGGAGGUGGAUAAAGGCUGUUUCCCUAAAGUUA